UACGGGGGGUGCAAGCGUUAUUCGGAAUCAUUGGGCGUAAAGAGCGCGUAGGCGGCCCAAUAAGUCAGAUGUGAAAGCCCGGGGCUUAACCCUGGAAGUGCAUUUGAAACUAUUGGGCUUGAGUAUGGGAGAGGGAAGUGGAAUUCCUGGUGUAGAGGUGAAAUUCGUAGAUAUCAGGAGGAACACCGGUGGCGAAGGCGACUUCCUGGACCAAUACUGACGCUGAGGCGCGAAGGCGUGGGGAGCAAACAGG
This 253-nucleotide ribosomal RNA is filed under the name uncultured bacterium. Its description in RNAcentral is "partial 16S ribosomal RNA". It matches the Rfam family "Bacterial small subunit ribosomal RNA", at positions 524 to 776 of the family's 1533-position model. The record is from RNAcentral.